AAAAAAAGACCGAACACGAUUCCUGUAUUCGGUCCAGGGAAAUGGCUCUUGGGAGAGAGCCGUGCGCUAAAAGUUGGCAUUAAUGCAGGCUAAGUCGCCUUGCCUCUUAAGAAUAGAUUACCGACGCAGGUUUUCCAGUCCGCAGCAAAAGUGGUCAGAAAAAAGCCGCAUUUAAGGUGACUGUUUAUGCAAAAACAGCAAUAUCCCCUUGAGGUUA
RNAcentral lists this small RNA (217 nucleotides) under Cedecea davisae DSM 4568. The record is from RNAcentral. Lineage: Bacteria; Pseudomonadati; Pseudomonadota; Gammaproteobacteria; Enterobacterales; Enterobacteriaceae.